UGUUUGCUAUACAGGUAUAUGUGUAAAUUCAUCCAUAUUUACAGGUCCCGCUGUGAAGCCCAUCCCUCCCACUGGUGUAGAUGCCCCGGCUAGGGCAGUGCACCCAGACUUACUUACAGCCCGGAGCCAUGGAUUUUUAAGAAUCAUGAAUCGCCCGGCACAAUAUGUGGUUAUCAUCACACUUCUGAUCUCUUGGUCAAUAGCAGGUGUUGUCAUGUUUGACUUUGUCAGUGACGAUCAGAUUGCAAGCAUCCAAGAUUUCGGCUCUGAUCCAGUGCUAGCAGUGAACAAAGCCAUUGAAGUCAUUGAAAACAGGAUAAACCAUAUGAAUGAUAUGUUUAAUGAUGCUCAAGAGCACGUCACUGAAAUAAUAUUUAAUCCGGUGGAAGCUAUUAGUUCAGCUGCUGACUCAUCUGUGUCUUAUCUGUCAGGAAUAUUUAGUGCUGAUGGUAUGUACAUAUGUUCAUUAAUGGCAUUUAAAAAUCAUUUAUAA
This 493-nucleotide long non-coding RNA is filed under the name Sinocyclocheilus grahami. RNAcentral describes it as "lncRNA (ENSSGRG00000031550.1)". The record is from RNAcentral. Lineage: Eukaryota; Metazoa; Chordata; Actinopteri; Cypriniformes; Cyprinidae.